GAGUUCGAUCAUGGCUCAGAUUGAACGCUGGCGGAGUGCUUUACGCAUGCAAGUCAGACGGCAGCACGGACUUCGGUCUGGUAGCGAGUGGCGAACAGGUGAGUAAUGUAUCGGAACGUGCCCACAAGUAGCAGGGGAUAACUGCGCGAAAGCGUAGCUAAUACCGCAUGCACGCCUUCGAGGAAGCGAGACCUUCCAGGCCUCGCACUAUUAGAGCAGCGAUAUCAGUUCGCUAAGUUGGUGGGAGUAACGGCUCACCAAAGGCGAAGCAGAUCCCGUAGCUGGUUUAAGAGGACGACCAGCCACACUGGGACUGAGACACGGCCCAGACUCCUACGGGAGGCAGCAGUGGGGAAUUUUGGACCAAUGGGGGAAACCUGAUCCGGCCAUCGCGUAUUGCGAUGAAGGCCUUCGGGUUGUAAAAGCACUUUUGGCAGAAGAAACGGCACGGGAUAAUACCCCGUGCAACCAAUGGCCUGCAGAAUAAGCACCGGCUAACUACGUGCCAGCAGCCGCGGUAAUACGUAGGGUGCAAGCGUUAAUCGGAAUUACUGGGCGUAGAGCGUGCGCAGGCGGUUCCGGAAAAGAAAGAUGUGAAAUCCCCAGGGCUUAACUUUGGAACUUGCAUUUUUAACUACCGAGCUAGAGUGUGUCAGAGAGGAGGUGGAAUUCCGCGUGUAGCGGUGAAAUGCGUAGAUGCGGAGGAACACCGUUGGCGAAGGCAGCCUCCUGGGAUAACUGACGCUCUGCAGCGUGGGGGCAAACCCAGGAUUAGAUACCCUGGUAGUCACGCCCCAAACUGAUGUCAACUAACCUGUUGGGGCCUUCGGGCCUUGGUAGCGCAGCUAACGCGUGAAGCUGACCGCCUGGGGUACGGUCGCAAGAUUAAAACUCAAAAGGAAUUGACGGGGACCCGCACAAGCGGUGGAUGAUGUGUGGAUUAAUUCGAUGCAACGCGAAAACCUUACCUACCCUUGACAUGUCAGGGUCCGAGAUUUGGGAGUGCUCGCAAAGGGAACCGGAACACAGGUGCUGCAUGGCUGUCGUCAGCUCGUGUCGUGAGAUGUUGGGUUAAGUCCCUGAAGCGCAACCCCUUGUCUGGUGCUACGAAAGGAGCACUCUAAUGAGACUGCCGGUGACAAACCGGAGGAAGGUGGGGAUGACGUCAAGUCCUCAUGGCCCUUAUGGAGUAGGCUUCACGUCAUACAAUGGUCGGGACUGAGGUCGCCAACCCGCGAGGGAGCCAAUCAGAAACCCGAUCGUAGUCGGAUCGCAGUCUGCAACUCGACUGCGUGAAGUCGGAAUCCGCUAGUAAUCGCGGAUCAGCAUGUCGCGGUGAAUACGUUCCCGGGUCUUGUACACACCGCCCGUCACACCAUGGGAGUGGGUUUUACCAGAAGUAGUAGCCUAACCGUAAGGAGGGCGAUUACCACGGUAAGGAUUCAUGACUGGGGUGGAAGUCGUAACAAGGUAG
Molecule: ribosomal RNA, 1474 nt
Filed under: uncultured Bordetella sp.
Lineage: Bacteria; Pseudomonadati; Pseudomonadota; Betaproteobacteria; Burkholderiales; Alcaligenaceae
Description: partial 16S-23S ribosomal RNA intergenic spacer
Rfam family: Bacterial small subunit ribosomal RNA
Source: RNAcentral